RNAcentral lists this ribosomal RNA (480 nucleotides) under uncultured bacterium. RNAcentral's name for it is "bacterial SSU rRNA". It matches the Rfam family "Bacterial small subunit ribosomal RNA", at positions 30 to 506 of the family's 1533-position model. The record is from RNAcentral.
UUGAACGCUGGCGGCAUGCUUUACACAUGCAAGUCGAACGGCAGCGCGGGGCAACCUGGCGGCGAGUGGCGAACGGGUGAGUAAUAUAUCGGAACGUACCCAAGAGUGGGGGAUAACGUAGCGAAAGUUACGCUAAUACCGCAUACGAUCUAAGGAUGAAAGCAGGGGACCGCAAGGCCUUGUGCUCCUGGAGCGGCCGAUAUCUGAUUAGCUAGUUGGUGAGGUAAAGGCUCACCAAGGCGACGAUCAGUAGCUGGUCUGAGAGGACGACCAGCCACACUGGAACUGAGACACGGUCCAGACUCCUACGGGAGGCAGCAGUGGGGAAUUUUGGACAAUGGGCGCAAGCCUGAUCCAGCAAUGCCGCGUGAGUGAAGAAGGCCUUCGGGUUGUAAAGCUCUUUUGUCAGGGAAGAAACGGUGCGGGCUAAUAUCCCGUGCUAAUGACGGUACCUGAAGAAUAAGCACCGGCUAACUACGU